This 755-nucleotide ribosomal RNA is filed under the name uncultured microorganism. RNAcentral's name for it is "bacterial SSU rRNA". It matches the Rfam family "Bacterial small subunit ribosomal RNA", at positions 57 to 830 of the family's 1533-position model. The record is from RNAcentral.
GCAAGUCGAGCGGGUAUAGCAAUAUAUCAGCGGCGAAAGGGAGAGUAACGCGUAGCUACGUGCCCCGGAGACCGGAAUAGCCAGCCGAAAGGCUGGGUAAUGCCGGAUGAUGUCUCUGGACUAAAGGGUGUGAUUCCGCUUUGGGAGCGGGCUGCGUUGUACUAGCUUGUUGGUAGGGUAAUGGCCUACCAAGGCGAUGAUGCAUACCGGGCGUGAGAGUGUGGCCCGGCUCACUGGGACUGAGACACUGCCCAGACACCUACGGGUGGCUGCAGUCGAGAAUCUUCGGCAAUGAGCGCAAGCUUGACCGAGCGACGCCGCGUGCGGGAUGAAGGCCUUCGGGUUGUAAACCGCUUUCGGUAGGGAGGAAAUUGCUAGGGGUUCUCCCCUAGUAUUGACCUAUCUUCGGAAGAAGGACGGGCUAAGUUCGUGCCAGCAGCCGCGGUAAUACGAACCGUCCAAACGUUAUUCGGAUUUAUUGGGCUUGAAGGGUAUGUAGGCGGCGCCAUCAGUCGGGUGUGAAAGCCCUCGGCUCAACCGAGGAACUGCGCCCGAUACUGUGGUGCUUGAGGGAGACAGAGGUAAGCGGAACUGAUGGUGGAGCGGUGAAAUGCGUUGAUAUCAUCAGGAACACCAGUGGCGAAAGCGGCUUACUGGGUCUCUUCUGACGCUGAGAUACGAAAGCUAGGGGAGCGAACGGGAUUAGAUACCCCGGUAGUCCUAGCUGUAAACGAUGAGCACUUGAUCGUGGGGCC